Long non-coding RNA from Heterocephalus glaber (naked mole-rat), 385 nucleotides. NCBI's taxonomy places the organism in Eukaryota, Metazoa, Chordata, Mammalia, Rodentia, Bathyergidae. The record is from Ensembl.
GGUGGAAGGGUGUGCCAGAGGAAAGGAUUGAACUUGAGUCCUUGUGCUUGUGCAGCAGGCGGCGAAACCACUCAGCCACCUGUGAUGGCUCCUGUGACUGGGAAGGUGAUACUGCUGAUGUCUACAAAGAGAAGCCUUCAAAGAAACUUGCGUCUUCUGAGGGUGCCAGGAUGCCAUUGAGGAUCACCAUGGCAGAUGUAUAUUGUCCUCGUGUAUGUCUGCCUGGACUCUCCAGCUGCUUAAACAUUGUGUCAGUACAGUGUCAUAUGGGCUCCAAAAAUAACCUCAAUGGGAGCUAAAACUAUUUCAUCAGCAAGGAAAUAAUGUGACCUUGGGUACUGAAUCUCUGCAGACAUGUCACCGAUGGAUGGAAUUUUGUACUCCU